This is an RNA transcript of Helicoverpa zea (corn earworm), 679 nucleotides long. RefSeq lists it as uncharacterized. The record is from RefSeq and is a predicted model, not a curated record. The transcript has 2 exons. NCBI's taxonomy places the organism in Eukaryota, Metazoa, Arthropoda, Insecta, Lepidoptera, Noctuidae.
UAUUUACGGUUCUUGUAAAAAAAGGUUGAGUACAUCACUAACUGCUGGAAAUGUGUUUACAUUCUGCAAGUGCUUUUUAUAGAUUUGAGGUUAUAAGUUCAAGUUUUAACCAAUUGUUAAACGAUUUAUCAGCAGUUUUGUAGAAAAAAACAGCUGCAGAACAGUUUUUUAACCAGUGAUAUUGACUAGAUUCCUGAUCACCAGAUACGCUUACACCAAGAAAACAAUUUGUUUAUCAGAAGUAUGGGUAAAAGGAAGAAAUCUACCAACAGUGCUACUGAUGGCUUAGUAGUUAAAAGCAAACGAGUCAACACUAAUACCGAUAAUCUCGAAUGUAGCGAUAGUGAGCCUAAAAAUGAAGAAACACAUACAACAUCUGAUGUCAAACAAAAAAGGAAAAAGAAAAACCUAUCACAGACAAAUCAAGGUCCUGCAAACAAAAAUAAAAAGAUAAUAUUCAAUGAUGACGAUGGUGAACCAGUAGAAGUUAAUAACACUACAAAUCAGAAACAACAAACUGAUCAACCGCAAUUUUCUCAAGAAAAUGAAGAAGAUAUUAAAGACGAGGAUAUUGAUAAGUUUUGCGAUGAAUUAAACGAAGAAGAUAACGAACAAUACGAAAACUGGGUUAAAUUGCUAGAAGAAAAGCUUAAUCCAAAUAAAAAAAAGCCUAAAUAAU